GACGAACGCUGGCGGCGUGCCUAAUACAUGCAAGUAGAACGCUGAAGGAGGAGCUUGCUCUUCUGGAUGAGUUGCGAACGGGUGAGUAACGCGUAGGUAACCUGCCUGGUAGCGGGGGAUAACUAUUGGAAACGAUAGCUAAUACCGCAUAACAGUAGAUGUUGCAUGACAUUUGCUUAAAAGGUGCAAUUGCACCACUACCAGAUGGACCUGCGUUGUAUUAGCUAGUUGGUGGGGUAACGGCUCACCAAGGCGACGAUACAUAGCCGACCUGAGAGGGUGAUCGGCCACCCUGGGCCUGAGACACGCCCCAGACUCCUACGGGGGGCCGCAGUGGGAAAUCUUCGGAAAUGGACGGAAGUCUGACCGAGAAACGCCGCGUGAGUGAAGAAGGUUUUCGGAUCGUAAAGCUUUGUUGUAAGAAAAAAACGGGUGUGAGGGUGAAAAUUUCACCCUGUGGCGGUAUCUUACCAAAAAGGGACGGCUAACUACG
RNAcentral lists this ribosomal RNA (493 nucleotides) under uncultured bacterium. Its description in RNAcentral is "partial 16S ribosomal RNA". It matches the Rfam family "Bacterial small subunit ribosomal RNA", at positions 28 to 505 of the family's 1533-position model. The record is from RNAcentral.